This 433-nucleotide ribosomal RNA is filed under the name uncultured bacterium. Its description in RNAcentral is "partial 16S ribosomal RNA". It matches the Rfam family "Bacterial small subunit ribosomal RNA", at positions 29 to 507 of the family's 1533-position model. The record is from RNAcentral.
AACGAACGCUGGCGGCAGGCCUAACACAUGCAAGUCGAGCGAGGACUUCGGUCCUAUCUGCGGACGGGUGAGUAACGCGUGGGAACGUGCCCUUUGCUUCGGAAUAGCCCUGGGAAACUGGGAGUAAUACCGGAUGAGCCCUUUGCGGGAAAGAUUUAUCGGCGAAGGAUCGGCCCGCGUUGGAUUCGGUGGUUGGUGGGGUAAUGGCCUACCAAGCAGACGAUCCAGAGCUGGUUUGAGAGGAGGAUCAGCCACACUGGGACUGAGACACGGCCCAGACUCCUACGGGAGGGAGCAGUGGGGAAUCUUAGACAAUGGGGGAAAACCUGAUCGAGCCAUGCCGCGUGAGAGAUGAAGGCCUUAGGGUUGUAAAGCUCUUUCAGCUGGGAAGAUAAUGACGGUACCAGCAGAAGAAGCCCCGGCUAACUCCGUG